AGGGGGUUAGCUAGGUGGUUUAACAGUAAAUUUACACUUUACAAACAGUGUUUCGAUUACUCUACUCUAUA
Paxillus rubicundulus Ve08.2h10 is the source of this 71-nucleotide non-coding RNA. The record is from Rfam. Lineage: Eukaryota; Fungi; Basidiomycota; Agaricomycetes; Boletales; Paxillaceae.